AUGACGUCAAGUCCUCAUGGCCCUUAUAGGUGGGGGUACACACGUCAUACAAUGGCCGGCCCAAAGGGCAGCCAACCCGCGAGGGGGAGCCAAUCCCAUAAAGCCGGUCGUAGUCCGGAUCGCAGUCUGCAACUCGACUGCGUGAAGUCGGAAUCGCUAGUAAUCGUGGAUCAGAAUGUCACGGUGAAUACGUUCCCGGGUCUUGUACACACCGCCCGUCACACCAUGGGAGCGGGUUCUGCCAGAAGUAGUUAGCCUAACCGCAAGGAGGGCGAUUACCACGGCAGGGUUCGUGACUGGGGUGAAGUCGUAACAAGGUAACCAAUC
This 327-nucleotide ribosomal RNA is filed under the name uncultured bacterium. Its description in RNAcentral is "bacterial SSU rRNA". It matches the Rfam family "Bacterial small subunit ribosomal RNA", at positions 1179 to 1505 of the family's 1533-position model. The record is from RNAcentral.